CCAGACUCCUACGGGAGGCAGCAGUGGGGAAUAUUGCACAAUGGGGGAAACCCUGAUGCAGCAACGCCGCGUGAGUGAAGAAGUAUUUCGGUAUGUAAAGCUCUAUCAGCAGGGAAGAGAAUGACGGUACCUGACUAAGAAGCCCCGGCUAACUACGUGCCAGCAGCCGCGGUAAUACGUAGGGGGCAAGCGUUAUCCGGAUUUACUGGGUGUAAAGGGAGCGUAGACGGCUGUGCAAGCCAGAUGUGAAAGCCCGGGGCGCAACCCCGGGACUGCAUUUGGAACUGCGGGGCUUGAGUGUCGGAGAGGCAGGCGGAAUUCCUAGUGUAGCGGUGAAAUGCGUAGAUAUUAGGAGGAACACCAGUGGCGAAGGCGGCCUGCUGGG
Molecule: ribosomal RNA, 385 nt
Filed under: uncultured bacterium
Lineage: Bacteria
Description: bacterial SSU rRNA
Rfam family: Bacterial small subunit ribosomal RNA
Source: RNAcentral